CGAAAUGCGAUAAGUAAUGUGAAUUGCAGAAUUCCGUGAAUCAUCGGAUCUUUGAACGCACAUUGCGCCCUCUGGCAUUCCGGGGGGGAUGCCUGUCCGAGCGUCAUUACGCACCCUCAAGCCCGGCUUGUGUGAUGGGCCCCGGCGUCUCGUUCGCGAGACGGGCCCGAAAGGCAGCGGCGGCGUCGACCCGAUGAGCCCGAGCGUAUGGGGACUUCUGUCACACGUUCGCGGUGCGGACCGGCGCCUGCUUGACUUUUCUGAUUAUCCAGGUUGACCUCGGAUCAGGUAGGGAUACCCGCUGAACUUAAGC
RNAcentral lists this unclassified non-coding RNA (313 nucleotides) under plant metagenome. RNAcentral's name for it is "partial contains 5.8S ribosomal RNA, internal transcribed spacer 2, and large subunit ribosomal RNA". The stretch from base 1 to 106 matches the Rfam family "5.8S ribosomal RNA", at positions 49 to 154 of the family's 154-position model. The record is from RNAcentral.